Molecule: ribosomal RNA, 406 nt
Filed under: uncultured bacterium
Lineage: Bacteria
Description: partial 16S ribosomal RNA
Rfam family: Bacterial small subunit ribosomal RNA
Source: RNAcentral
AUUGUACGCUGGCGGCAGGCCUAACACAUGCAAGUCGAACGAGUGGCGGACGGGUGAGUAAUGUCUGGGAAACUGCCUGAUGGAGGGGGAUAACUACUGGAAACGGUAGCUAAUACCGCAUACCAUCGGAUGUGCCCAGAUGGGAUUAGCUAGUGGGUGGGGUAAAGGCUCACCUAGUCGACGCUCCCUAGCUGGUCUGAGAGGAUGACCAGCCACACUGGAAGUGAGACACGGUCCAGACUCCUACGGGAGGCAGCAGGGGGGAAUAGUGGACAAUGGGCGCAAGCCUGAUGCAGACAUGCCGCGUGGAUGAAGAAGGCCGUCGGGUUGUAAAGUACUUUCAGCGGGGAGGCGUUACCCGCAGAAGAAGCACCGGCUAACUCCGUGCCAGCCGCCGCGGUAAUUC